GCCCAAGAGAUCGGGAUAACACCUGGAAACAGAUGCUAAUACCGGAUAACAACAGAUGAUGCCUAUCAACUGUUUAAAAGAUGGUUCUGCUAUCACUCUUGGAUGGACCUGCGGUGCAUUAGCUAGUUGGUAGGGUAACGGCCUACCAAGGCGAUGAUGCAUAGCCGAGUUGAGAGACUGCUCGGCCACAUUGGGACUGAGACACGGCCCAAACUCCUACGGGAGGCAGCAGCC
This 234-nucleotide ribosomal RNA is filed under the name uncultured Lactobacillus sp. RNAcentral's name for it is "partial 16S ribosomal RNA". It matches the Rfam family "Bacterial small subunit ribosomal RNA", at positions 128 to 355 of the family's 1533-position model. The record is from RNAcentral. Lineage: Bacteria; Bacillati; Bacillota; Bacilli; Lactobacillales; Lactobacillaceae.